UACGUAGGGUGCGAGCGUUAAUCGGAAUUACUGGGCGUAAAGCGUGCGCAGGCGGUGAUGUAAGACAGGUGUGAAAUCCCCGGGCUUAACCUGGGAACUGCAUUUGUGACUGCAUCGCUGGAGUGCGGCAGAGGGGGAUGGAAUUCCGCGUGUAGCAGUGAAAUGCGUAGAUAUGCGGAGGAACACCGAUGGCGAAGGCAAUCCCCUGGGCCUGCACUGACGCUCAUGCACGAAAGCGCGGGGAGCAAACAGG
RNAcentral lists this ribosomal RNA (253 nucleotides) under uncultured bacterium. Its description in RNAcentral is "partial 16S ribosomal RNA". It matches the Rfam family "Bacterial small subunit ribosomal RNA", at positions 524 to 776 of the family's 1533-position model. The record is from RNAcentral.